CCUACGGGGGGCAGCAGUAGGGAAUCUUCCACAAUGGGCGAAAGCCUGAUGGAGCAACGCCGCGUGGGUGAAGAAGGUCUUCGGAUCGUAAAACCCUGUUGUUAGAGAAGAAAGUGCGUGAGAGUAACUGUUCACGUUUCGACGGUAUCUAACCAGAAAGCCACGGCUAACUACGUGCCAGCAGCCGCGGUAAUACGUAGGUGGCAAGCGUUAUCCGGAUUUAUUGGGCGUAAAGGGAACGCAGGCGGUCUUUUAAGUCUGAUGUGAAAGCCUUCGGCUUAACCGGAGUAGUGCAUUGGAAACUGGGAGACGUGAGUGUAGAAGAGGAGAGUGGAACUCCAUGUGUAGCGGUGAAAUGCGGAGAUAUAUGGAAGAACACCAGUGGCGAAAGCGGCUCUCUGGUCUGUAACUGACGCUGAGGUUCGAAAGCGUGGGUAGCAAACAGGAUUAGAUACCCUUGUAGUC
RNAcentral lists this ribosomal RNA (465 nucleotides) under uncultured bacterium. RNAcentral describes it as "partial 16S ribosomal RNA". It matches the Rfam family "Bacterial small subunit ribosomal RNA", at positions 338 to 795 of the family's 1533-position model. The record is from RNAcentral.